GAUGAACGCUGGCGGCGUGCCUAAUACAUGCAAGUCGAGCGAACAGAUGAGGAGCUUGCUCCUCUGACGUUAGCGGCGGACGGGUGAGUAACACGUGGAUAACCUACCUAUAAGACUGGGAUAACUUCGGGAAACCGGAGCUAAUACCGGAUAAUAUAUUGAACCGCGUGGUUCAAUAGUGAAAGACGGUUUUGCUGUCACUUAUAGAUGGAUCCGCGCCGCAUUAGCUAGUUGGUAAGGUAACGGCUUACCAAGGCAACGAUGCGUAGCCGACCUGAGAGGGUGAUCGGCCACACUGGAGCUGAGACACGGUCCAGACUCCUACGGGAGGCAGCAGUAGGGAAUCUUCCGCAAUGGGCGAAAGCCCGACGGAGCAACGCCGCGUGAGUGAUGAAGGUCUUCGGAUCGUAAAACUCUGUUAUUAGGGAAGAACAAAUGUGUAAGUAACUGUGCACGUCUUGACGGUACCUAAUCAGAAAGCCACGGCUAACUACGUG
RNAcentral lists this ribosomal RNA (497 nucleotides) under uncultured bacterium. RNAcentral describes it as "partial 16S ribosomal RNA". It matches the Rfam family "Bacterial small subunit ribosomal RNA", at positions 28 to 507 of the family's 1533-position model. The record is from RNAcentral.